Molecule: long non-coding RNA, 452 nt
Filed under: Anas platyrhynchos platyrhynchos (common mallard)
Lineage: Eukaryota; Metazoa; Chordata; Aves; Anseriformes; Anatidae
Description: lncRNA (ENSAPLG00000024893.1)
Source: RNAcentral
AUGCAUUUGCUAACAAGCAGGGGAUUAGAAAAGCUCUGGAAAACACAAGCACGUCUAGCAAAAUAUCCUGGUGAUCUUAUGUGUUCCAUCACAGUGGAUGUGAACAUGCUGGUUGUGAAAUCCCUGAUCGGGAGCUCCAAACAAAGAGAAACAGCAGUCAGAAAUGGAGAUAGCAGUAAAGGAGUUCCUAUGAGGUUUCCUGUCUUCUCUACAGCAUCACGUGAUCUUCUAUGCUGAGUCUUACGUGAAUUCUUGCAACUGGUGUAUGGAAACUGAUACUGACAAUUGGUGUGGUCCUGGAGAUGUUUGGCCCAUAGCUGCAGUGAGAAUAACCCAUGGAGAAGGUUGAAUGAUAAGGUUGAAAUGCGGUUUAAGUAUCAUUGAAUUUUGACUACAAACAGACUUUCAAGUGCAGAAAUAAAUCCAGACAUCUUCUGGUGUCUUGCGUUAUG